RNAcentral lists this long non-coding RNA (626 nucleotides) under Malus domestica (apple). RNAcentral's name for it is "long non-coding RNA (MDOM_LNC005741)". Lineage: Eukaryota; Viridiplantae; Streptophyta; Magnoliopsida; Rosales; Rosaceae. The record is from RNAcentral.
GGCCCUAAGGCAACUAUAUAGUCCAUCAAUGAAUGCAAACCUUAUGUUAGUAGUACCAUAUACUCUUGCUUUACAAACCGUUUUACAAGCAUAGUGGGAGUAUUAUAUACAACUAAAUCAAUCACAUGAACCAAUAGUUGUAAUAGGACCAAAUUGUUUUAAUAAGAUUAAAAUGCAUGCUUAUAUGUGAUGAGACCUAAAACCAUUGAACCAAACCAUUAUUAAGUUGAUAAGCGUGAGAGUGCUUUGAACACUCUUUCGUGGCCUUCCACCGUGGUAGGCUCCGAUCGUUUGUGACUCGUACACUGACUUCACCCUAUCAUGGGGGAGUACAAAGUGCGUGCUUACACUCAGGAGGAGUUCUAUAUGCAUACAUGAUGUUGUGAAGGUAGGCAACGAGAAUAGCCAACAUCAUAUCAUUGUAAGGUUGUUCUUGAACCCCUACUCAAACUUGCAUGGUGGGAAUGACUUAACUAAGUGCAAUGGAGCCAACAUCAUAUCAUUGUGAGGCUUCAUUCUCUAGAGGCCAAAUAAGAUGGGUACUUGCAAGAGAUGCAAAUGAGUAAGUGUACUCUCUCAUUAUUAUUGAUGGUAGCCAACAUCAUAUCAUUGUGAGGUGGGCUUGG